UACAGAGGUCUCAAGCGUUGUUCGGAUUCAUUGGGCGUAAAGGGUGCGUAGGUGGCGCCGUAAGUCGGGUGUGAAAUUUCGGAGCUUAACUCCGAAACUGCAUUCGAUACUGCGGUGCUUGAGGACUGGAGAGGAGACUGGAAUUCAUGGUGUAGCAGUGAAAUGCGCAGAUAUCAGUAAGAACACCGAUGGCGAAGGCAGUUCUCUGGGACGGUACUGACGCUGAGACGCGAAAGCGUGGGAGGCGAA
RNAcentral lists this ribosomal RNA (249 nucleotides) under uncultured bacterium. RNAcentral describes it as "partial 16S ribosomal RNA". It matches the Rfam family "Bacterial small subunit ribosomal RNA", at positions 524 to 772 of the family's 1533-position model. The record is from RNAcentral.